Molecule: long non-coding RNA, 548 nt
Organism: Cyprinus carpio (common carp)
Lineage: Eukaryota; Metazoa; Chordata; Actinopteri; Cypriniformes; Cyprinidae
Exons: 3
Source: RefSeq, a predicted model, not a curated record
UGUAGUUGUUUUUUCUCUCUAUGUAUAACGUUACUUCAGUGCUCGAAUUGAGGGGGGGGGGGGAUCCGGCACCCCCAUAAGAAGAAAAAAUAGACUUGGGGGGGUCCUUCAGAUAUUUUUAUUUGAGUAAAAAUGAUAAUGGCAAAUGUGAUUAAAUUCAUGCAAUGGAUUUGUUAACUUUAGUGAAUUAAUUAUUUACAAUAAUUUAUAUUAAGUUUGUUUAUGGGUUAGUUGUCAAACGCCCCGCCCCGGGUCUAAAGACCGCUAAGCGCAGGACAUCGUUGACAUGACUGCUUGAUUUGCGCCGCUCCGGUGAAGCUAACUUCAGCUAAAAAAAAAAUGGAGAAUAAUAAACCUCCACUCGCAGUCGGGAAGAGCAAGCUUCUUGGUUCUUACUGACUUUUUUGAGGGAGCCCACCAAGGAAGACUUGAAGUGUUUUAAUGACUAUGAGACAGAAAUGAAAUGCAGUCUCUCCUCUAAACGUCUCCAAAGCUGCUCUGGACACAAACUCAACAUCACACAUCCUGUAUCCAAUACAUUUGAAAAG